This 5504-nucleotide long non-coding RNA is filed under the name Homalodisca vitripennis (glassy-winged sharpshooter). RNAcentral's name for it is "uncharacterized LOC124357759". The record is from RNAcentral. Lineage: Eukaryota; Metazoa; Arthropoda; Insecta; Hemiptera; Cicadellidae.
UAGCAAAACAUUGGGAUGAACUUAUAAUGCAGAUUAAACUAUCAAACAGUGAUUUUGAUUUAGUAAUCUUAUCGGAAAUCUUUUGUAGGGAGAAUGAAAUAAAUUAUUACAGUAUACCAAGCUACGAAAAAACUUAUAAGUUAAGAAAAACCAAACAGGAGGAUCAUAAGCUUAUUAAUUUUUUAUUAAUCAAACAUAAUACUACUAACAGCACUAAACACCAAUACAGAAUCAUACGAAUGCAUGUUAGGUGAAAUUUUAGUUGCAGGAUUCAAAGACAAGAUAUGCCUAAAAGCCAUCUACAGACCACCUAGUUCUUCAAGCAAAUUGUCAAUAAAACAUUUUCUUUAAGAAAUAGAUUCAGAACUUAAGAAGUUGAGCAAUUAUACAAUAUGUGUGCUGAAAGGAGAUGUUAAUGUCGAUUUAACUGAUAAGAAAGAUCAACGCGUUAAGGAGUAUGAAACAAUUCUAGCUGCUUGGAGACUAAGCAGGGGAAUAUGGUUCAGAAUUGGUUGAUGCAUUAAGUAAAACAGGAAUAAAAGGUAUAUAUCUAAGAUGGUUUUAAUCAUAUUUAAAAAAACAGAAAAUUCAGAAUAAAAGUAGAUGGAUGUAACAGUGAAUUAAAAGAUGUGAACUACGGGAUACCAACUUGGUCCGCUAAUGUUCAUAGUUCAUAUAAAUGAAAUGUUUGAGAUUGUAGAAGAAUGUCAGAUUUGGACAUAUGCCGAUGAUAUAGUCUUGGCGUCAGGACACAAGAAACAGAAUUUAGCGCAGAAAUCCCUUCAAUCAGAUUUUAAUAAAGUAACAAAGUGGGCCCAUGAUAAAGGACUCGUUAUUAAUUGGGGAAAAACAGUAAUGAUGCACUUUCACAUACAACAUUUAAAAGUAAUAUAAUUCCACAAAUUAAAUAUCACACAUGUGACUGUUUACAUAUGAAUAAGAAUUUGGAAGGAAUAGAGUGUAUGUGUGAGACUAUUAAAUUAACAGAAAAAUGUAAAUAUUUAGGAGUUUUGGUAGACAAUAAGUUAAUUUGGAAAGACCACAUUAAUGAAUCACAAAAUAAACUGACAACUUGUUUUAAUAUCAAUGUAUAGAAUAGGCAACGCAAUAGACAGAAAAUUAAAUAUACAAUAUAUAAGGCUUUGGUUGAGUCCGUUAUUAGGUACGGUGUAAAUGUCUGGGAAACAGCUGCUAAGACACAUUUAAAUAAAAUAAAAGAAAAACGUACAAGAUAGGUGUUUAAAGAUAUUACUAAGAAAAAAUAAAAACGAAAAUGUACAGUAGGCAGGCCUAAGAAAAAAGAAGCAAAACACUCUCUCCAAUUGGUGUAUAUACAUAUACCACAAUAAUAACAAAUGUAAAAAGAAACAAUCUUAAACGCAUUGUUCACAAAAAUGUAAACACAAGGAGUAAGGAAACCUUUGAAGUGCCUAGAUCGAAUACAUUUUUAUGGAGAGCGUCCACCGAAUUACAUCGUGCCGUUCCUGUAUAAUAAGAUUCCUAAUUAUAUUGAUGAUACCUGUAUAAACCAUUUACGAUUUAAAUAUAAAAUAUUUAAUAAGCUAAUGGACCAAGAAAGUUCUGAAAGCUAAAAAUGUGUAAUAUAAGAGAAUAAUAAUUUAGCUAAAGACUCAUCCCAUACACUACAAUACCAGUGACAAUACUUUUCACUUUAACCCACGAAACACUUGACAAACUCCCGCAUAAACACUUUACUUACCCAGAACUAUACACUACGUACUACUGACAUAUUGGUGGACAUGGACGAUGAGCACGUGACGGGGACAGGACGGGAACUAACAGUACGUAUUAUAAAAAUGCCUUUUGAAACAACUGCUGAUAAGAAAGGUUAACACACUUUCACUAACAACCAAUGAACAAUCAAGUAAUAAUUACUGCAGGGGCAAAGUAUUGGGUCUGUUUGCCAAGAUAGCAGAUGACAAUGAUACAGUCUUAUCUAAAAAGGAAGUAAACAUAUUUUUAUUAGUAUUGUUAAAAUUGAUAGAAAUGUUCGUAUAUUUGUGUACUCUAUUUCUGUUAAUAUUUAUUUAAUUUAUUGUAAUGUUAUUGUAUUGUAAUAUAUAUUGCAUGUGUUAUUGAUGUUAUAAAGAACCCUUUUAGUUCACUGUUCUAUGAUAUUCGCUACGGAUUUCAUAAUUAUAUAUGUUGCGCUUCUUGCUAUUUAUUUUAAUAUCUCGGGGUUAUUGUAAUUUCAUGUUCAUAACAUAAAUAUUUGUUACACAACCGUUCGUUUUUUCAGUUACGGAGUAGUAAAAGUUGUAAUUGUAGUUAAUGAAAUAUCGUGUCAUAGUAUGUUCUUGACAAAUUAUUAUGAUGGAACAAUUAUUACAAUAAAAUCACUAACUAAUGCUUGAAACUCCUCAUCAUACUAAAUGUCUGAUAUGUGGCCUUGUGAAUAUGUAAGUCCUGGUAUUAAAUAGAAAUUCCAAAAUAUUGUAUCAUUUCAAUUAAAAAAUAAUUAAAUUACUUUACCAUCAUUUUGGUCACAAGUGAUAUACAUUUACGGUAUGUUUCACAUGAAACAAGGAGUUCCUAUUUCUAGCAUAAUACUUUAUUCUAUGGUAUAAUGUUAUUAGUACCAUAACGAAAAAUCAUGGUAUACAUGAACUAUCUGCAUCUAACAUCUAUAUAUUCCGUAUUCGUAUCGUGUUGAAACAUUGUUUAUGAAAUUAAUUCUUAUAGUAUUUCGACCUCGCUGUGGAGGGCCAUAUUCAGCAAACAAGGUUACAUCGAAAUAUGCUUAAUUUAUUAUAAGGAUUUACUUGUAAGUAUAUGAAUAUGAAAUAAUUGUAUACGAGUAUAUUGAUAUUGUGUUUGCGAUGAUUUAUUAGUAUCUUCCGACAUAUUUUUUAAUUCAACCAUAAAUAAUAUGUAAUCCCUAUUAACAUAUUUUAAAUUACUAUACAUUUAGUCAAAAGAAGUGAGUAGUCGAAGUUCGCACUACAAUGAUUAGAAAUAUUUGGUGAGCUUAAUAUAGUUUAUAUUUAAAACAAUAAUAGUGUAAAAUAUAUGAAAGUUAUUGUUUAAAUUUAUCAUUACCGGUAUUUACCCGUUUAGUAAUUUAUUGCUUAAUCUCUAAUGCUGCUAGAUGAUAAUUGCAGACUUGUAAUCUCGAACAAGCAUUUUUUUAAUGUUAACAAUAAUUGAAUUAAAGAUUAAUAAUGUGGUUUUCAGAGUGGAAGUGUGUCCAGUUCGUCUACGUCUGCGGACAACUGGCCAAUCGCCUCUCUGGGUGGGCCUCCGCCAAUGGGCUCCUAUCAAGAGCCCAGAAAGGGUUUACCCCCGCGGAGGGCUGCCUGGAGCACAAUUUCCUGUUACAGGAACUCCUCGAUGAGGCACGUAUGCAUGGGGGGGAGCUUUGCAUUGCCUGGCUUGACCUGGCUAAUGCAUUUGGGAGUGUCCCCCACUCCUCGCUCUUCUCCGCCCUGCGCUCUGCCGGUCUUAUAGUGUAAGAACCAGCACUCUUAGACCAUCAGCUGAUAGAAGACAGCCUGCAGGUUCGAUGAACAGAUGUUGUGCCUUCGGCUGGUGCUUCCACCAAAUUUUAAGUUUUAUAUUCUACUCACAUGUUUAAAUAUAAAUCUUCUGAACUUUGUGGUAUAUGAAGUAAUGAAAGUAAGUAUAUGAAAAAUUAAGGAAAUAAUUCUUGAAAAUAACUAUAAGGCUAAUUGCAAUGAAAAUAAGAGCUAUUAUACGUAUACCUAAUAGUUUUGUUAACAUUUCCAAAUACACUGGAUAAAUAUGGCUGUAUAUAUAGGUACCAUACGACAUUCAAAUGUAGAUAUUAACACCAAUUUAUUUAUUUGUUGGGUGUAUUAGCUUAUUUAAUGUUUUAUGGAGUUUGGUUGUUUUAACUGAUUUUGCAAUUGAAUAGUAAUGCAAUAAUAAACGAAGGUUUAAUUUCAACUACAUGUUUGAAUAUAAUCUCAUGUACUGUGAAGUAAAAGUCACUAAAAUUACAUAGUUGGUUUGAAUCGCAAUUCAAUUAUGUAUAAGUCAUCACUGUCUAAUAUAUAUGGUUAUUUUAAAUGUAUUAUUUAGACUGUCUUAUAUUACUAAAAUUUACAUGUAUUUUUAUGUUUUACAUAAGAGUCAGUGGUCAGACUACGAGUAUAUCUGACCUUCAGAAGAGAGUAAAAUAAAAAUGUUAUCCGAUUUCGGAGAAACUCAUCCUUAUGAUUGGGGCGAAUGACUUUUUGAAGAAUGCAGACAUUUCGACAAUGUGUAGGGAACUCUCUGCACUCAUCAAAACACUGCAGGAAACUGUAAGAAGUCUAAUCCUGCUGAACCUGCCGCCGCGCCGAUACCAAAGCUGGAGAAAAAAUACGGUCUGAGCCAUUUCAAACUCUUGGAGGAGUACAAUGGCCACAUCCGUAGCUUGGAAAAUGAAGAGUAUGUAAGGAUAGCCGACAUCAGCCCACUGUACGUGACCUCAUCUCCACGCCAGAAGUGCCUUAUGCAUCUCUUUGAACGAUUUUUCUCUGGAAGAGCUAGACGACCAGAUUUAAUUCACCUCAAUCGGCAAGGUCUUAUAGUUAUGCGUAAGUAUAUCCUUGACAAUGAAUUGUUUAUAAAUUUUAGAUUUGCUUUUACUCUGUAAAAUUUUAGUGUUUAUAUAACUUUAUAUCUGGACAUUUUAUUGUUAUAAAAACAACAUAGCAUAUAAGUUCUUCAUAAUUGGAUUUUUUAAUUAUGCUACACCAAAGAUUUGUAUGAGAUCAUGUCUUCCAAUCUUUAGUGAACUGAAAAGUGGGAAAACGUGUUUCUUUUAAUUAGGUUUAAUAAAGUGUUACAGAUAUAUUAUUGCUCAUUAAAACAAAUUGUAUAUAACUGUUUAAAAUUGUUUUGUGAGUAAUAGUAUACAUAUUUGUAUUUUUAACAUCAGGUUGUCCAAAUUAAAAAGAAAAUUUAAACAUAUAGUUUUGAGUUAUUUAAAUGUAUAAUAAAAUUUAGCUGUUGAAUAUUUAUAUUUUUACAGAGUUAUGCUAUAUCUUUGGAUAUUUGUAGGAUGUAUAGAGUAGUAUGUAAAAUGUAUGUAUUGUAGACUAGUAUGUAAAACGUGUAACAUAGUUAUCAUCAUAGUAAAUCUUUCUGUAUAUUUAAUUAGCUGUUAAGCUUUUUGUGUAUUUAAAUAGACGAUUUAUUACUAUUAUUGUGUCAAGUACAAUUCAUGUAGAUAUUUUAUAGUAAAGUGGCAUUAUAAAUUUUACUGUUCUAGUACCAUAAUACCGAGAAGUCCUUUAAAGUUUGUGUAUCAUUGUAAAUGCUGUAAUACUUUUCACGAAAGACCAUGUUUUACCAUAACUAUUUUCUUAUCUUUGAACUAGUCUGUAUAUGUUUGAAUGGAAUAGUGCGGUAAUAUUUAAUAGUACUAAGAAAAAUCUUUAAACGUAACAAUUUGGUAUUUUCAUUUCACCCUUACCCCACUAAAUGUUUUAGACAGCUUAGCGCGCUAGAUUGCUAUUGGUACCUAUUAGCCAAAA